This is a non-coding RNA of Chaetomium fimeti, 81 nucleotides long. The record is from the annotation of a RefSeq genome assembly. Lineage: Eukaryota; Fungi; Ascomycota; Sordariomycetes; Sordariales; Chaetomiaceae.
GGUCUGAUGGCGCAAUGGCCGCGCGUUGCUUUCCGGUUAGGAAUAUGGCAAAGGUUCUGGGUUCGAAUCCCAGUUGGAUCG